RNAcentral lists this small RNA (127 nucleotides) under Marmota monax (woodchuck). Lineage: Eukaryota; Metazoa; Chordata; Mammalia; Rodentia; Sciuridae. The record is from RNAcentral.
GCCAGGUGCAUUGGCACAUGCCUGUAAUUCCAGCUACACAGGAGGCUGAGGCAGGAGAAUCACAAGUUGGAGGCCAGCCUCAGCAAUUUAUUGAGCCCUUCAACAACUUGGUGAGGCCCUGUCUCAA